GUGGAAAGGCCUCAGUACAGCCUCGGUCUGGCCUGGAAACUGUUUCGGGAUUUUGAGUCUCUGUGCUUGUGAAUUCUGUUUUGGAUAUUAUUGGUGCAAUUGUUGGACAAAAUGACUUGCAGUGGUAUUAAUUGCACUAAUAGAGCGUCCAAGGAGUCUCCACUUUUUUUCGGGAAGGACCUGAUUGGUGUCCAGAACCUGCUGAAGAAGCACCAGGCUCUGCAGGCUGAGAUAACAGGUCAUGAACCUCGCAUCAAGGCUGUCACCCAGAAAGGAGAGACCACAGUGGAGGAAGGUAGAGCAGGUCUGGUCCUGACAUGUUUCUGAGGUGUCUGCAGGUUCUGGCUCACUUUGUUUGGGUCCAGGUCACUUCGCUGGUGAGGAAGUGAAGACUAAACUGUGGGAGCUUCAUGGACGUUGGGACAAGCGAACAUCUCCACACCUUUUUUGUGUUUGUGUGACUUUAGGUUGUUUUACUUGAACUCGCGUCUUUAGCUGAAUGAGGAUGGAGAGACGGGUCGGACCUGGAGCAGGUCGAGGUCUUGCAGAAGAAGUUUGACGACUUCCAGAAGGACCUGAAGGCCAACGAGUCCCGCCUGAGGGACAUCAACAAGGUGGCAUCUGAACUGGAGUCAGAAGGUCUGAUGGCUGAGGAGGCUCCUAUGGUUCAGGCUCAGCAACAAGAACAUCUGGGUUCUGCUCCUGGAAAGACCGUACGGUUGGGCGUUCAGACGACGGCUAACUUUAAUUCCAUCAAGGAGCUGAACAACCGCUGGCGCUCGCUGCAACAGCUGGCUGAAGACCGGAGCAACAUGCUGGGCAGCGCCCAUGAGGUGCAGCGCUUCCACAGAGACGCUGAUGAGACCAAAGAGUGGAUCGAGGAGAAGAACCAGGCCCUGAACACAGACAACUACGGCCACGACCUGGCCAGCGUUCAGGCUCUGCAGCGUGAACAUGAAGGCUUUGAGUGUGACCUGGCAGCUCUGGGUGAUAAGGUCCGCUUCCUGAUCGGUACCAGGACCCGGGUUGUCUCUGGAGACACGUUCUUCAUGGUUCUGGUGACUCCAGCCCAGCCGUUCCUGAUCAGCAAUCAGCGGGGUGCUUUCCUAUUUAAGGAUUCCUGUCGACCUCAUUGGAUACUGACCUCUACUCCAGGAUUUGGAUAUUCAACACACGGACCUUAUCACCACCCUCCAUAACCCACCUCUCAUCUCACCCAGUGCCCCAUCCACCAGGACGCCCCGCUUCUCUCCACCUCUGCUCCCUCUCCUGCGCUUCCCCCGGCUCUCUACCUCUCCCUCCUCCAGCCAACACGUACACCCACCACAACGCUGAGCUGUUGUUGCAGUUCCAACCACAGACUUAUCUGUGCACCUUAAGUUCCUCCUUAUAAAUAAAUCAUUUUUUCCAUCA
Nothobranchius furzeri (turquoise killifish) is the source of this 1413-nucleotide non-coding RNA. Lineage: Eukaryota; Metazoa; Chordata; Actinopteri; Cyprinodontiformes; Nothobranchiidae. The record is from RefSeq and is a predicted model, not a curated record.